Molecule: long non-coding RNA, 341 nt
Filed under: Brassica napus (rape)
Lineage: Eukaryota; Viridiplantae; Streptophyta; Magnoliopsida; Brassicales; Brassicaceae
Description: long non-coding RNA (BNAP_LNC012917)
Source: RNAcentral
UAUAAUGGGCAAAUCUCCAAAAUAGCACAUUUCUAAGUUUAUAUCACAAAAAUAGCACUCAAAAACUAAAAUGACCAAAAUAACACAUUUUUAAGUUUAUCCUUUGAAAAUUUUAAUUUUUUUAUUUUUCAAAAUUUGAAAUCUUAUCCCUAAAACCUCAUUUCUCAACUCUAAACCCUAAACCCUAAACUCUAAACCUUAAACCGUAAACUCUAAACCAUAAACCGUAAACUCUAAACCCUAAACCCUAAACCCUAAACCCUAAACCCUAAACCCUAAACCCUAAACUCUAAACCCUAAACCCUAAGUUUGUGACUUUUGAUAAAACAUUAAGUGCUAUU